AUUGAACGCUGGCGGCAUGCCUUACACAUGCAAGUCGAACGGGGUUAAGGGGCUUGCUCCUUGACCUAGUGGCGAACGGGUGAGUAAUGUAUCGGAACGUACCAUUCGGUGGGGGAUAACGUAGCGAAAGUUACGCUAAUACCGCAUAUUCUCUGAGGAGGAAAGUAGGGGAUCGCAAGACCUUAUGCUGAUUGAGCGGCCGAAAUCGGAUUAGCUAGUUGGUGAGGUAAAGGCUCACCAAGGCGACGAUCCGUAGCUGGUCUGAGAGGAUGAUCAGCCACACUGGGACUGAGACACGGCCCAGACUCCUACGGGAGGCAGCAGUGGGGAAUUUUGGACAAUGGGGGCAACCCUGAUCCAGCCAUGCCGCGUGAGUGAAGAAGGCCUUCGGGUUGUAAAGCUCUUUCGCGAGGGAAGAAAACGUGCAGGUUAAUACCCUGUAUGGAUGACGGUACCUUGAUAAGAAGCACCGGCUAACCACGUGCCAGCCGCCGCAGUAA
RNAcentral lists this ribosomal RNA (500 nucleotides) under uncultured bacterium. RNAcentral's name for it is "partial 16S ribosomal RNA". It matches the Rfam family "Bacterial small subunit ribosomal RNA", at positions 30 to 523 of the family's 1533-position model. The record is from RNAcentral.